Molecule: unclassified non-coding RNA, 318 nt
Filed under: plant metagenome
Description: partial contains 5.8S ribosomal RNA, internal transcribed spacer 2, and large subunit ribosomal RNA
Rfam family: 5.8S ribosomal RNA (bases 1-105)
Source: RNAcentral
GAAAUGCGAUAAGUAAUGUGAAUUGCAGAAUUCAGUGAAUCAUCGAAUCUUUGAACGCACAUUGCGCCCUCUGGUAUUCCGGGGGGCACAUCUGAUCGAGCGUCAUUACAACCCUCAAGCUCUGCUUGGUAUUGGGCGUCUCCGUCCCGCAUCAUGCGCGGACGCGCCUCAAAGCUCUCGGCGGUCUGCACCGGCUUCAAGCGUAGCAAAAAAACCCUCGCUUCUGAAGCUCCGGCGUAGGUCCUGCCGCAUGACGACAACCGUUAUUUUUCCAAAGGUUGACCUCGGAUCAGAUGGGGAUACCCGCUGAACUUAAGC